Molecule: long non-coding RNA, 436 nt
Filed under: Brassica napus (rape)
Lineage: Eukaryota; Viridiplantae; Streptophyta; Magnoliopsida; Brassicales; Brassicaceae
Description: long non-coding RNA (BNAP_LNC005715)
Source: RNAcentral
UUCUUGUCGCUCAAAGCUGACGCAGCAUCAUAGAAACGGACAAGGCUAAGGAUAUAAAAACCAAUGCCAAAACCCUAAAAGCAACUGUCAAAGCUAGAGCACGACAUAUCUCAAAUGAAAAGGAAAUAAAAACCAACACCAAAAUGAAAACAAAUAGACCUCUCCGGCUUCAAGCUUCAGUCUUCAAGUCUCAAACUCUGAAAAGACAAACAAAACAAUAUUUAAAACGUGAACAAACGUAUGACAAGCUUCUAUCUACGGGUUGUAUUUGCACAAUCAUCAAAACAGAACCAACCUUAAAACAAGCUUCUAUCUACAACAGUUUGACAACUUAUAAUUUAAAUCAAGAGCAAAGAAGAAGGAGACUAUCUCUGAGUGUGUUAUUGACUUAUUUGAGAAAGGAGAUGAUGUCUUUUUUUGAUUAGUUUCUUUCUCC